RNAcentral lists this ribosomal RNA (424 nucleotides) under uncultured prokaryote. RNAcentral describes it as "bacterial SSU rRNA". It matches the Rfam family "Bacterial small subunit ribosomal RNA", at positions 355 to 796 of the family's 1533-position model. The record is from RNAcentral.
UAGGGAAUCUUAGACAAUGGGCGAAAGCCUGAUCUAGCCAUGCCGCGUGUGUGAUGACGGCCUUAGGGUUGUAAAGCACUUUCGCCAGGGAAGAUAAUGACGGUACCUGGUAAAGAAACCCCGGCUAACUCCGUGCCAGCAGCCGCGGUAAUACGGAGGGGGUUAGCGUUGUUCGGAAUUACUGGGCGUAAAGCGCGCGUAGGCGGACUAUUAAGUCAGGGGUGAAAUCCCGGGGCUCAACCCCGGAACUGCCCUUGAUACUGGCAGUCUAGAGUUCGAGAGAGGUGAGUGGAAUUCCGAGUGUAGAGGUGAAAUUCGUAGAUAUUCGGAGGAACACCAGUGGCGAAGGCGGCUCACUGGCUCGAUACUGACGCUGAGGUGCGAAAGUGUGGGGAGCAAACAGGAUUAGAUACCCCCGUAGUCC